GACGAACGCUGGCGGCGUGCUUAACACAUGCAAGUCGAACGGAAAGGCCCUGCUUGCAGGGUGCUCGAGUGGCGAACGGGUGAGUAACACGUGGGUGAUCUGCCCCUUACUUUGGGAUAAGCCUGGGAAACUGGGUCUAAUACUGGAUAGGACCAUGCUGUAGGUGGUGUGGUGGAAAGAUUAGUUUCGGUAAGGGAUGAGCUCGCGGCCUAUCAGCUUGUUGGUGGGGUAAUGGCCUACCAAGGCGUCGACGGGUAGCCGGCCUGAGAGGGUGGACGGCCACAUUGGGACUGAGAUACGGCCCUGACUCCUACGGGAGGCAACAGUGGGGAAUAUUGCACAAUGGGCGCAAGCCUGAUGCAGCGACGCCGCGUGGGGGAUGACGGCCUUCGGGUUGUAAACUCCUUUCAGCCAUGACGAAGCCCUUGUGGUGACGGUAGUGGUAGAAGAAGCACCGGCUAACUACGUG
RNAcentral lists this ribosomal RNA (469 nucleotides) under uncultured bacterium. RNAcentral's name for it is "partial 16S ribosomal RNA". It matches the Rfam family "Bacterial small subunit ribosomal RNA", at positions 28 to 507 of the family's 1533-position model. The record is from RNAcentral.